Molecule: long non-coding RNA, 222 nt
Filed under: Pan troglodytes (chimpanzee)
Lineage: Eukaryota; Metazoa; Chordata; Mammalia; Primates; Hominidae
Description: long non-coding RNA NONPTRT005051
Source: RNAcentral
CUGAGCAUCACCUGGAGGUUCUCCCUGUUCAAGUAUAAGGCUUAUGCUCUGACAGAGGGAACUUUAUCCACUUAUGACCCCCAAGUUAAUUUAAGAUGCAGGGUUAAGCAAUGCAUGACUGCAGUCACUUAUGUAACCAGCCCGGCUGCCGUGCUAUGGAGAUAAAGAGCAGAUUGGGCAACCAGCUAUCCUGCCUGCCAGUAAGCUGUAGUUGAUUAUACU